GUAGGUGGCAAGCGUUGUCCGGAAUUGUUGGGCGUAAAGCGCGCGCAGGCGGUCCUUUAAGUCUGAUGUGAAAGCCCACGGCUCAACCGUGGAGGGUCAUUGGAAACUGGGGGACUUGAGUACAGAAGAGGAAAGCGGAAUUCCAAGUGUAGCGGUGAAAUGCGUAGAGAUUUGGAGGAACACCAGUGGCGAAGGCGGCUUUCUGGUCUGUAACUGACGCUGAGGCGCGAAAGCGUGGGGAGCAAACAGGAUUAGAUACCCUGGUAGUCCACGCCGUAAACGAUGAGUGCUAAGUGUUAGGGGGUUUCCCGCCCCCCUUAGUGCUGCAGCUAACGCAUUAAGCACUCCGCCUGGGGGAGUACGGCCGCAAGGCUG
This 375-nucleotide ribosomal RNA is filed under the name uncultured organism. Its description in RNAcentral is "partial 16S ribosomal RNA". It matches the Rfam family "Bacterial small subunit ribosomal RNA", at positions 527 to 896 of the family's 1533-position model. The record is from RNAcentral.